UGACCAGUUUCUUUUUUAGAAGCUCGAGGCCAUACGGACAGCCGGGUCAACUGCCGA
This 57-nucleotide small RNA is filed under the name Pygmaiobacter massiliensis. RNAcentral's name for it is "Streptococcus sRNA SpF59 (ldcC RNA)". It matches the Rfam family "Streptococcus sRNA SpF59 (ldcC RNA)". The record is from RNAcentral. Lineage: Bacteria; Bacillati; Bacillota; Clostridia; Eubacteriales; Oscillospiraceae.